CCUACGGGUGGCAGCAGUGGGGAAUAUUGGACAAUGGGCGAAAGCCUGAUCCAGCCAUGCCGCGUGUGUGAAGAAGGCCUUCGGGUUGUAAAGCACUUUCAGUGGGGAAGAAAGCCUUGGGGCUAAUACCCUCGAGGAAGGACAUCACCCACAGAAGAAGCACCGGCUAACUCCGUGCCAGCAGCCGCGGUAAUACGGAGGGUGCGAGCGUUAAUCGGAAUUACUGGGCGUAAAGCGCGCGUAGGCGGUCUGAUAAGCCGGUUGUGAAAGCCCCGGGCUCAACCUGGGAACGGCAUCCGGAACUGUCGGGCUAGAGUGCAGGAGAGGAAGGUAGAAUUCCCGGUGUAGCGGUGAAAUGCGUAGAGAUCGGGAGGAAUACCAGUGGCGAAGGCGGCCUUCUGGACUGACACUGACGCUGAGGUGCGAAAGCGUGGGUAGCAAACAGGAUUAGAUACCCCGGUAGUC
This 465-nucleotide ribosomal RNA is filed under the name Vreelandella stevensii. RNAcentral describes it as "partial 16S ribosomal RNA". It matches the Rfam family "Bacterial small subunit ribosomal RNA", at positions 338 to 795 of the family's 1533-position model. Lineage: Bacteria; Pseudomonadati; Pseudomonadota; Gammaproteobacteria; Oceanospirillales; Halomonadaceae. The record is from RNAcentral.